CCCUGGUUAGAUGAGUUGGUAGAGCGCUCCACUGGAAAUGGAGAGGUCCCGUGUUCGAUGCCUGGACCAGGCG
RNAcentral lists this transfer RNA (73 nucleotides) under Ixodes scapularis (black-legged tick). RNAcentral describes it as "tRNA-Ser for anticodon GGA". It matches the Rfam family "tRNA". Rfam says of the family: Transfer RNA (tRNA) molecules are approximately 80 nucleotides in length. Their secondary structure includes four short double-helical elements and three loops (D, anti-codon, and T loops). The record is from RNAcentral. Lineage: Eukaryota; Metazoa; Arthropoda; Arachnida; Ixodida; Ixodidae.